CAGGGGGCUCAGGUCCACACACUCAGCCAGUGAACCACUGCAUUUAUUCUGCCCUUGGGUGGAUUGUCACCUAAUUUCUAAAAUAAUUUUUUCCUUUUGGUUUGUCAUAGUGCUUUUGUGAUGUAAUACUCUUCAUGGCCAUUUUUGUAUUCAAACAAAGGUGGAAACUUCCAUUGAUUUUUGAAAAAAUUUAUACAUGAUGGAAGAAUCCAAAAACCCUCAAAAGAUCAACCUUAAGCUUCUUAGAGUUAAAAGUUAAAAUAUAGGUUUAAUUUUUCUGUAUUUUGGUGGCUAAAAUACAGGUAAUGUGACUUUUUCUUUAGAUUUUGAUGGGGAAAAUAAGCCCAUGAGCCUAUAUAGUGAAAUGGAACUGGA
This 375-nucleotide long non-coding RNA is filed under the name Bos taurus (domestic cattle). Its description in RNAcentral is "long non-coding RNA NONBTAT007541". Lineage: Eukaryota; Metazoa; Chordata; Mammalia; Artiodactyla; Bovidae. The record is from RNAcentral.